CCUGAGAGGGUGAACGGCCACACUGGAACUGAGACACGGUCCAGACUCCUACGGGAGGCAGCAGUGGGGAAUAUUGCACAAUGGAGGAAACUCUGAUGCAGCGACGCCGCGUGAGUGAAGAAGGCCUUCGGGUCGUAAAGCUCUGUCCUAGGGGAAGAUAAUGACGGUACCCUAGGAGGAAGCCCCGGCUAACUACGUGCCAGCAGCCGCGGUAAUACGUAGGGGGCGAGCGUUGUCCGGAAUUACUGGGCGUAAAGAGUUCGUAGGCGGUCUGAUAAGUCAGAUGUGAAAGGCGUAGGCUUAACCUAUGUAAGCAUAUGAAACUGUCAGACUUGAGGUAAGGAGAGGAAAGUGGAAUUCCUAGUGUAGCGGUGAAAUGCGUAGAUAUUAGGAGGAAUACCAGUGGCGAAGGCGACUUUCUGGACUUAAACUGACGCUGAGGAACGAAAGCGUGGGGAGCAAACAGGAUUAGAUACCCUGGUAGUCCACGCCGUAAACGAUGAGUGCUAGGUGUCGGUUAGAAAUAAU
Molecule: ribosomal RNA, 528 nt
Filed under: Vibrio parahaemolyticus
Lineage: Bacteria; Pseudomonadati; Pseudomonadota; Gammaproteobacteria; Vibrionales; Vibrionaceae
Description: bacterial SSU rRNA
Rfam family: Bacterial small subunit ribosomal RNA
Source: RNAcentral